UAAUACGAAGGGUGCUAGCGUUGUUCGGAAUCACUGGGCGUAAAGCGCGCGUAGGCGGCUUUGCAAGUCAGAGGUGAAAUCCUGAGGCUUAACCUCAGAAUUGCCUUUGAAACUGCAAGGCUGGAGUACUGGAGAGGAAUGCGGAAUUACUAAUGUAGCGGUGAAAUGCGUAGAUAUUAGUAGGAACACCGAUGGCGAAGGCAGCAUUCUGGACAGUUACUGACGCUGAGGCGCGAAAGCGUGGGGAUCAAACAGGAUUAGAUACCCUGGUAGUCCACGCUGUAAACGAUGGGUGCUAGCUGUUGUGGUGUCAUGCCACAGUGGCGUAGCUAACGCGUUAAGCACCCCGCCUGGGGAGUACGGUCGCAAGAUUA
This 374-nucleotide ribosomal RNA is filed under the name uncultured bacterium. RNAcentral describes it as "bacterial SSU rRNA". It matches the Rfam family "Bacterial small subunit ribosomal RNA", at positions 521 to 896 of the family's 1533-position model. The record is from RNAcentral.